Hevea brasiliensis (rubber tree) is the source of this 470-nucleotide long non-coding RNA. RefSeq lists it as uncharacterized. The record is from RefSeq and is a predicted model, not a curated record. NCBI's taxonomy places the organism in Eukaryota, Viridiplantae, Streptophyta, Magnoliopsida, Malpighiales, Euphorbiaceae. The transcript has 3 exons.
CUUUCUCCUCAUUUCUCUCAUUUCCCUUUCCACCAUUAACACCCAUUUCAAGCUUUCAAAAGCUUGAUUUUAUUUUAUAAACUCCCUAACUCCUUUAAGUAAGUCUUGUUCUUGGACUUUGACAAGCAUCUUGACAACAAAAAGAGGAGGAAAGAAAGAAGAUUUGAAAAGGGAGAAAUUCAACAAAAGAGUUGAAAAGAAUAUCGGGAAGGAACCCGAGGAACCGAGUCGAGGCUAAAGGACGACUCGUUUGAGAUAUAGAGAUUAGAGGAGCAGCAGACUGAGCUGCUGAGGUGUGUGAAGUCAUCAGCUUGAAGUCUUCGGGUAUAAUUUAUACCCUAACUGUAAAUAUUUCUUUUGAUGUAUAUAUUGCACAUAAAUGUAUGGACAUGUACAUGGGUCUUGAGCAGCUUGUACAAAGUUUGUAUAAAAGUUGUAAUAAAUUUUAGUUUGGACUUCCUGAAUGUAAA